Molecule: ribosomal RNA, 362 nt
Filed under: uncultured fungus
Lineage: Eukaryota; Fungi
Description: eukaryotic LSU rRNA
Rfam family: Eukaryotic large subunit ribosomal RNA
Source: RNAcentral
AUAUCAAUAAGCGGAGGAAAAGAAACUAACAAGGAUUCCCCUAGUAACGGCGAGUGAAGCGGGAAGAGCUCAAAUUUAAAAUCUGGUUUGCUUGCAAACCCGAGUUGUAGUCUGAAGAAACGUUUUCCAUGAAAGCUGAGGCACAAGUCCUUUGGAACAGGGCAUCAUAGAGGGUGAGAAUCCCGUCCAUGGUCUCAAGCCUUUCAUUUUGUGAUACGUUUUCUAAGAGUCAGGUUGUUUGGGAAUGCAGCCUAAAAUGGGUGGUAAAUUUCAUCUAAAGCUAAAUAUUGGCGAGAGACCGAUAGCGCACAAGUAGAGUGAUCGAAAGAUGAAAAGCACUUUGAAAGAGAGUUAAACAGUAC